This 345-nucleotide unclassified non-coding RNA is filed under the name soil metagenome. Its description in RNAcentral is "partial contains 5.8S ribosomal RNA, internal transcribed spacer 2, and large subunit ribosomal RNA". The stretch from base 1 to 120 matches the Rfam family "5.8S ribosomal RNA", at positions 35 to 154 of the family's 154-position model. The record is from RNAcentral.
GAUGAAGAACGCAGCGAAAUGCGAUAAAUAAUGUGAAUUGCAGAAUUCAGUGAAUCAUCGAGUCUUUGAACGCACAUUGCGCCCCCUGGUAUUCCGGGGGGCAUGCCUGUCCGAGCGUCAUUGCUGCCCUCAAGCACGGCUUGUGUGUUGGGCCUCCGUCCUCCUCCCGGGGGACGGGCCCGAAAGGCAGCGGCGGCACCGCGUCCGGUCCUCGAGCGUAUGGGGCUUCGUCACCCGCUCUUGUAGGCCCGGCCGGCGCUUGCCGACACAUCAAUCUUUUUUCCAUGUUGACCUCGGAUCAGGUAGGGAUACCCGCUGAACUUAAGCAUAUCAAUAAGCGGAGGA